This 432-nucleotide ribosomal RNA is filed under the name uncultured bacterium. RNAcentral describes it as "partial 16S ribosomal RNA". It matches the Rfam family "Bacterial small subunit ribosomal RNA", at positions 29 to 507 of the family's 1533-position model. The record is from RNAcentral.
AACGAACGCUGGCGGCAGGCCUAACACAUGCAAGUCGAGCGAGACCUUCGGGUCUAGCGGCGGACGGGUGAGUAACGCGUGGGAACGUGCCCUUUUCUACGGAAUAGCCUCGGGAAACUGAGCGUAAUACCGUAUACGCCCUUGGGGGAAAGAUUUAUCGGAGAAGGAUCGGCCCGCGGUGGAUUAGGGAGUUGGUUGGGUAAUGGCCUACCCAGCCUACGAUCCAUAGCUGGUUUGAGAGGAUGAUCAGCCACACUGGGACUGAGACACGGCCCAGACUCCUACGGGAGGCAGCAGUGGGGAAUCUUAGACAAUGGGGGCAACCCUGAUCUAGCCAUGCCGCGUGAGUGAUGAAGGCCUUAGGGUUGUAAAGCUCUUUCAGCUGGGAAGAUAAUGACGGUACCAGCAGAAGAAGCCCCGGCUAACUCCGUG